CCAGACAAAGUCUGGGGACACAAAUCUCACACGUUCUCAACCUACAGGUGAAAAAGGCAGACCUGGAAGAACUAAACAUAGGGACACACUAUCCUACGCAUGCCUCUUGAUGAUACGAAGAAGCACCGCCAGAGCGAGAGUGAGGCAGGAAGACCUUAUUCUGUCGAUGACGAUGGGGUCGUCUCAUCAUCGUCGAACAAAACACAAAGCAUUAGUUUAUGCCUAACCCUACCACCACCCGAACCGAAGCGUUGGGUCCUCACCACCUCUCACCCCAGAGCGACAAACUAAAGGAGAAGGGACCAACGGUCUCGCCAGGAAGGGGGUAGAUCAGGCGCCGCCCCUAGACACCUAGGUCAUGGGAGCUAGGAAGAGGGAAACGAUUCUUUAACGGGCUUAUAUAGUUUUUUUUGGCAGAUUAUUUUAACAAAGUACAAUCACUUAUAUAGUUGAUUACUUAGUUUAGCAUCCAGGAUGUUCCAACAUUUUACUUGGAUGCACUAAGACAUUUUUUGCUUCAUGCAUGUUUGAAGAUGACAUGUACUUACUCUGGAAUUGUCUUCUCUCAUUUGUUAUUUUCUUGAGCAAUGCUAUUCUCACAUUUAGCUCCAAGCGGUUAUUAUCCCUAUUGUAGUCGUUUUCUUUUAAGUGUAUGAAAGAAUAGGACUUUUGUAUUUAUUAGUUUGUUAAAUCAAAGAGCACCAUGCAUCUAAAAGGAAACCGAGCAGCCUACAUCAUAAUUCCAUUGCUUGAUUUCUAGAAGGGAAAAAAGGGAGAAAUGACUGUCUCUGAACUCUGUGCUAGGUUUAAAUUGUCAUGUUUACGACCAUAAAGGCGUGCCUUGCCGCGCCCGCCCACCUUAGAGACAUUUUUACAGAAUAAUAAGACAUCUUAAUGAAAGAAUGAUAGAACUAAAUGAGAAAAAAUAGAUAUUGGACUAUUUGGAACCGUCACAAUUUUGUUCUAUCUCCCACCAUAUUAUUUAAUUAUAUCUUCAAAAUAACCAUGCAUCUAAUUUUAGAUAUAGAGUCCGUACAAAAGUAAGUUAUAAUAUGUGCCAAAGGUGGGCAAAAUAAACUCUUUCUUCACAUGCAUCAUAGAAAAGAACAUCUUCACGCGUGUUGCCACGCCCUUCUACCUAGAGAGAAACGUAAUAAUAUGUGGGAGAUUUGGACUAUAUACAUAUAUAAAAACACAUAUUCAUAUUCUUUUCCUAUAACUCUUGAAUUGCGGAUUUCCGUAAAAAAAACAGUAAUCUUGGAAAACUUUCAAUUAUUUUAAAGACAAAAUCAUUCAAACAAGUCAAAUUUUCGAUCAAAUUUUGUUGAGUUUGAGCAAAUCAUAUAAAAAAUGAAAAAUACAUGUAUGUAUUUGGUUCUACCGGUGGUGGCCAGAAAAGCAUCAAGAGUUGGUUGUGUAGUAUACCUGAUAGAUCUCUCUCGUGAGGUGUGAGAGGUGAGAGGAACAUGAGUAGUUGCGUCAGGCUAAAUGUAAAUUUAAAUGAAUUUUUCGUUCAAUAAUAUGUAGACUGGUGAGCAGCCGACCGAGGAGUCUCUCGUACGUGUGCAGGGGCAGAAAGAGGCUCGCAACGAAGAUGUGUUGUCCCCCUUUGACUACCACCAGGCUAGGUCCGGCCCAUCUUUUAUUUCCAGCCCGAUCGACCAUAACAGGCCUAGGUAAGUUUGUGGAGUUCUCUCAAAAAAGAGGAAAGUUUGUGGCGUUGUCUCAAAAAAAAAAGGUAAGUUUGUGGAGCAGCGGCCCUAGAAACACCAGGCGAGGCUAGAGGACAACCGAUCGAUCUAAUCAAACGGUCAUGGACGUCAAAACGCUGUGAGCAGCCGUAACUCGAUCCGUUAUACUGUUUCUUAAUUAAUAUCAGCAAAAAUCUGGGUUAACGAAGUGAUCAAUAUAAUAGUCAACAAAACCAGUUUGAUAUGUACUUAAAUGCCCAAGAUCUUGUAAUUUUGAAUCAAGUAUUGUGAUUAGAGAAUCAAUUGACAUUUUAUUUAUUUAUUGCGGAAGAAUUGACAUUAUUUGUUGUAGCAUGUUAUUUUUCACUUUUAGAUUUCUAUCUCUUAUGCAAUGAAAUGAGUGGCCCCGUAAAAGUUAUGUUUCCCCUCACUGAAGACUACCCACAUGUUUCCCUCCAAAGAAAGUUCCUUACACGUUUCUCUUAAGUUUUUUAAUGCAAGCAUCUAGUAUAAAACUGAGCAAAAUUAUUGCUAUUGUCAGACUGCUUUUGUAAAAUAAGAUGUUUUGAUGAAUCUCUUUCUGCAAUUUUGGAUAUUCCAUAGGAAUGUCUAUCUGAAGUAGACCGGUCGUUUGAUCAGAUUUUGUUUUUUCUUUCCACGGUCACUCGCCUAUUGUUUGCCUAAAAGGUAUCAGGAUAUUAGCCAGGAAAGGUCGAUGAGCAGUGGAGCAUGGUGGCAGUUUUACCAGGAACCACACUACAAGCUCACCACAGCGCAAGUUUCCACCAAAAUAUGUACGAGUCACAACCCACAGGCCACAUGUCAAUGAGUCCAUCCAAACAUAGAGAUGGGCAUGCUGAAAAUCAGAAAACCAAAACCAGGUUUGACACAGCAAGGUAGAAGGCAAACAAUGAAUUAGACACACCAACUUUUGAGAUGAAGACGAUUAGUUUGAAAGCGACAGGUUUUAGGCAAGCUGGCUUCCAAGCAGGAGGUCAGCCUGGACACAAUGAACCAUACAGACAGAGUACAUCGACGCAGGUGGUAAACUGCUGAAACCAAACACUUCCAGUUUUCACCACAUGGAUAACAGAGAUACAGGCCAAUUCAUCGCAGCAUCAUUAACAGAGAUCACUUCCCGCCAAACAAGUAGCCCAGGGACGAGCCACCGCCGGGAGCAGCAUGAACCUUGGUUGAAGGACGGUCCUGCGAGGGUUAACGGAGUGAUCAGCCAUUUCUCAGCUCACAUGGUAAACAAAGACAAAAAAAUCAGAGCCCAAAAAUGAGGAACGAAUACCUUUUCAAUACUCAAAAAUCAAAACAUUCAAGUAGUCCGAAUAACAAAAGAUUCUUUAACCCAUUUCUUUAGCAUUACAUUUCAGGGGGAAAAUGAACCGUUACAUUCUUUUUAAACUAUUAACUAUAGUAACAAAUAACACGGCGAGAUAAAUUCUUGGUGGCUUAACAUGAACCCCACAUAGGUAGUUGCAAAAACUGUACUGGGCAGAUGACUCUUUUAGCAAAAAGAAUUAAUGAUGGAGGCUAACAGUGAUUAAACUUAUGACAAUGGAAACUUCUGAUAUGCCUCACAGAUGAAAUUAAAGGGGAAAUAGCUGGAUCGAAUUGGGUUCAUUACAAGGAAAAAAAAACAUACCGUAAGGAAGUUGCCCGUGUUCUGGCCAUCUGCACGGUAGUAGUUGUUCGCCCGGCUACCUGGAAUGCCAGCUGGAAUCUGCUUGGUUACAUCGGCAGCUGCCAGUGCUGGUUUCUCAGCAGGUGCUGGCUUCGCAGCUGGUGCUGCAGCAGGCUUUGCAGGCUCACCAUCUCCAAACAGGUAACCCAGAGAACUUUGACCACCUCCAGCACUCCCGCCACGACUCAUCUUGACUGUAAGAUAAAUAGGUAAAGUGCAACAUAUGAGUGAACAAGUUCAACAUGAUUGUCAGAGUGCAAUACAUUAAGAAACAGCAAAUGAAAUCAUCAGGGAUAAAAGUUUCCGAAAAAAUUCAGAUCUCAGAGAUAAACUACAUAAGCCAAGUGAAUCUUGAAAUCAUAUGUCCAUACCGGAUAUAUUUGACCACCAGUUGCAACAAAAAUGUUUAGAUAGUGGCAUUUCAAGAAAUAGCGUGGUAAUUUAGGAGCAGAAGACAGAAAAAAGCAUGCAUGCUGAACCAAGUCUUCAGACAAGAAUACUUGGUAAGAUUAAGUAACCAGUGCUGCUUAGACUGAAUGAAGUCAAACAGGGUCAGAUAUUAUCACAAGCCACAAGGUAUGCUGUCAAUUAAAGCAUAUAAUCUACACAGGUUAGGUAAGAUCCACUUCUGUGAAAAAAGAAAGAUAAAACUCUGAACAUGAGGAAAUAUAGUUUGAGUGCGGCCAUGAAAGAAUAUCUAACAGUUGCUUUUAAUAAGAACUUCGAACAAAGGGCAUAGAGUGUGCUUGCAGGACAUGUUGCUAAGGAUAAUGGUGGUUACCAGUCAAUACAGGGCAACCUGGAAAAUGAGGCAAUCCAAACCCAAAAUAUAACUCAAUCCAGGGCAACUAAUCAACAUCAAACAGUAGAUAUCCGCAGUAUUGCGUUUAGUGAAAACAUUUAGAUCUCUGUUAGAGUGCAUAAUCAAUAGAGGAGAUGAUAGCAUCUCGAAACCUUAUAUGGUUAAACCAAUGACAAAGACAAAUUUCAGCAUCUUUGGGUUGAGAAGAUAAAAAUAAGAGGGCAACAGGUCCCCCACCACGAAGUGCGGUUUGGAAACACGAUGAAGAAGUGAACUACACAUUCAUACAGACCAGCAAGUUAAU
Molecule: long non-coding RNA, 4490 nt
Filed under: Triticum aestivum (bread wheat)
Lineage: Eukaryota; Viridiplantae; Streptophyta; Magnoliopsida; Poales; Poaceae
Description: long non-coding RNA (TAES_LNC023832)
Source: RNAcentral